Rattus norvegicus (Norway rat) is the source of this 279-nucleotide non-coding RNA. Lineage: Eukaryota; Metazoa; Chordata; Mammalia; Rodentia; Muridae. The record is from Rfam.
GGGUGUGGGGGUACUCUGGUUGUGACAUCUGCCACCCCAGUGAUUGCCAGGGUUGAUUCGGUUGAUAUGGCUGGUUAUGUGGGUGUCUGAUUCUUCUCUCAUGUUUGUUCCUCCCAAAGACCAGUGUUCAGUCAAAAACCGAAAACCUUCCCUGAACAGAGGAGGACUGCCUGUCUGUCAAGGGUAUUCUAGCGGCUGGGCUGUUUUGCUAGAACUUUCAAAUAAGCUCUUAAGCAUCACAGUUAAUUUUUUUUUUACUUUCAAAAAAAUUUUUUGUUU